Non-coding RNA from Caenorhabditis elegans, 21 nucleotides. Lineage: Eukaryota; Metazoa; Nematoda; Chromadorea; Rhabditida; Rhabditidae. The record is from Ensembl.
UAAAGCAGAAAUAUUUACCAU